This 301-nucleotide ribosomal RNA is filed under the name uncultured bacterium. Its description in RNAcentral is "partial 16S ribosomal RNA". It matches the Rfam family "Bacterial small subunit ribosomal RNA", at positions 509 to 807 of the family's 1533-position model. The record is from RNAcentral.
CAGCCGCCACGGGAAUACGGAGGGUGCAAGCGUUAAUCGGAAUUACUGGGCGUAAAGCGUGCGUAGGUGGUGGUUUAAGUCCGUUGUGAAAGCCCUGGGCUCAACCUGGGAAUUGCAGUGGAUACUGGGUCACUAGAGUGUGGUAGAGGAUAGUGGAAUUUCCGGUGUAGCAGUGAAAUGCGUAGAGAUCGGAAGGAACAUCUGUGGCGAAGGCGACUAUCUGGGCCAACACUGACACUGAGGCACGAAAGCGUGGGGAGCAAACAGGAUUAGAUACCCCCGUAGUCCCUGUCUCUUAUAC